GACGUAGGGCGCGAGCGUUGUCCGGAUUUAUUGGGCGUAAAGAGCUCGUAUGCGGCUUGUCGCGUCGUCCGUGAAAACCUGCAGCUCAACUGCAGGCUUGCGGUCGAUACGGGCAGGCUAGAGUUCGGUAGGGGAGACUGGAAUUCCUGGUGUAGCGGUGAAAUGCGCAGAUAUCAGGAGGAACACCGGUGGCGAAGGCGGGUCUCUGGGCCGAUACUGACGCUAAGGAGCGAAAGCGUGGGGAGCGAACAGG
Molecule: ribosomal RNA, 253 nt
Filed under: uncultured bacterium
Lineage: Bacteria
Description: partial 16S ribosomal RNA
Rfam family: Bacterial small subunit ribosomal RNA
Source: RNAcentral